UACGAAGGGGGCUAGCGUUGUUCGGAAUCACUGGGCGUAAAGCGCACGUAGGCGGACGUUUAAGUCAGAGGUGAAAUCCUGGAGCUCAACUCCAGAACUGCCUUUGAUACUGGACGUCUGGAGUCCGGGAGAGGUGAGUGGAACUGCUAGUGUAGAGGUGAAAUUCGUAGAUAUUAGCAAGAACACCAGUGGCGAAGGCGGCUCACUGGCCCGGUACUGACGCUGAGGUGCGAAAGCGUGGGGAGCAAACAGG
RNAcentral lists this ribosomal RNA (253 nucleotides) under uncultured bacterium. RNAcentral's name for it is "partial 16S ribosomal RNA". It matches the Rfam family "Bacterial small subunit ribosomal RNA", at positions 524 to 776 of the family's 1533-position model. The record is from RNAcentral.